Long non-coding RNA from Solanum tuberosum (potato), 205 nucleotides. RefSeq lists it as uncharacterized. NCBI's taxonomy places the organism in Eukaryota, Viridiplantae, Streptophyta, Magnoliopsida, Solanales, Solanaceae. The record is from RefSeq and is a predicted model, not a curated record. The transcript is spliced from 2 exons.
AAACAAAAAUUGAAAAGAAAUCAACAAGAAAGGUAUAAAAGGUGAGAAUUGAAGCAAGAUUGAUUGCAAGCUAUGUGUCACCACGUUAUUGAUACUUUGGAAGAAAUUUUUACUUAUAUGUCUUUGUUUAGGAGUAAUAUUUGGUAUGUUUUAGUUAGAUUUUCUUGUCAUUUAUGCUUUAGUAUAAUUUUAGUUAUUUUUAUUA